Molecule: ribosomal RNA, 275 nt
Filed under: uncultured bacterium
Lineage: Bacteria
Description: partial 16S ribosomal RNA
Rfam family: Bacterial small subunit ribosomal RNA
Source: RNAcentral
CUACGGAGGGUGCAAGCGUUGUUCGGAAUCACUGGGCGUAAAGGGCGCGCAGGCGGUUUGGUAAGUCAGAUGUGAAAGCCCACGGCUCAACCGUGGAAGUGCAUUUGAAACUGUCAGACUUGAGUACUAGAGGGGAAAGUGGAAUUCCCGGUGUAGAGGUGAAAUUCGUAGAUAUCGGGAGGAAUACCGGUGGCGAAGGCGACUUUCUGGCUAGAUACUGACGCUGAGGCGCGAAAGCGUGGGGAGCAAACAGGAUUAGAAACCCUAGUAGUCCC